Non-coding RNA from Pelobates cultripes (western spadefoot toad), 682 nucleotides. The record is from the annotation of a GenBank genome assembly. NCBI's taxonomy places the organism in Eukaryota, Metazoa, Chordata, Amphibia, Anura, Pelobatidae.
CUCCUCUUAUGUCGGGUAUUCAGCCCCUUAACAUUGUGCAAGUACAGUUUCACUUGUCCGAUGCAUGCUGUCGGAUAGUGGAGUUUUAAAUUUGUGUUGUUGUUAUGAUGGGAGGCUUGUGAUGCUCCUGUAGGAUCGGUGGGGUGGUCAGGAAGGUAGGUAGGGUUUGGGGUUGUUUAGGUGACGGGUGAGUGACCUCUUGGUCUGGUGCAGUUUGCACCUCGGAGGAUGGAACUGAGAAAAAGAGAACUUCCAAACAAGUGGCUGUUUGGGCUGCAUUCUAUGUCAUAUUGUAAGCAGAACAAUGUUAGUUGAUAACAGUAACAUGGGUUAAGAACAUUCAGAUAUAAACAGGGAUUUGCUAUACAAUUCAGUAUUGGAUACUUUCUGUUAAUCAAUAGUAGUACAAAUAUCUAUUCACCUUGUGUGGGUACAUGUUUGGGUUGUAUGCUUUGAUGGUGUUAACCAUAGUUGUGUACCAGUUUGUGUGGUUUUAAUGAAGGGCUGUGUUUAGUGUGGUGAGCUCAUGAGUUGUGUGUGAUAUGAAUAGUUAUGCUUUGUAGCGUGGGGCACCCGGGCCAUAGUGGGUCCGUGUCAUUCCUUAGUGAUCAGGCUGUAAAAGCGUCCCCACAAGGUGGAUGGGGAUCAGCGUUUGGGCUAUAUGACUCAAUUAUGGUUGUCG